Molecule: transfer RNA, 72 nt
Filed under: Camelus ferus (Wild Bactrian camel)
Lineage: Eukaryota; Metazoa; Chordata; Mammalia; Artiodactyla; Camelidae
Rfam family: tRNA
About the family: Transfer RNA (tRNA) molecules are approximately 80 nucleotides in length. Their secondary structure includes four short double-helical elements and three loops (D, anti-codon, and T loops).
Source: Rfam by way of RNAcentral
GGAGGUAUAGCUCAGUGGUAGAGUGCAUGCCUAGCAUGCACAGGAUCCUGGGGUCAAUCCCCAGUAGCUCCA